AGAUGUGAGAGCAAUCUGGCCAAGACAUCUGUCACCCUUUGUUCGUCAGCACUGACUGCACGGAUCUGCCUGGUGAGGCAGAUGCCCCCCUCUUGCCCCACAGCUCCCUGUGUAGCCUCCUCUGAGGCCUCACAUGUGGACAAGCUGCCAGCAAACAGGAGGGGAGGCCAUGGACUUGGCUAAGAGAGA
Molecule: small nuclear RNA, 189 nt
Filed under: Fukomys damarensis (Damara mole-rat)
Lineage: Eukaryota; Metazoa; Chordata; Mammalia; Rodentia; Bathyergidae
Description: 7SK RNA
Rfam family: 7SK RNA (bases 1-107)
About the family: 7SK was discovered as an abundant small nuclear RNA in the mid-70s but a possible function has only recently been suggested.
Source: Rfam by way of RNAcentral